GUAGUCUCGCACAGAUGCAUAUCAAUAAGCGGAGGAAAAGAAACUAACAAGGAUUCCCCUAGUAACGGCGAGUGAAGCGGGAAGAGCUCAAAUUUGAAAUCUUAAAGGGUUUCCCUUUACGAAUUGUAGUUUAAAGAAGUGUUUUCUGUUGAGGUUUUGGUAAAAGUUCUUUGGAAUAGGACAUCAUAGAGGGUGAGAAUCCCGUAUUUGACCUUUACUUUCAACUUUGUGAUACACUUUCAAAGAGUCGGAUUGUUUGGGAAUGCAGUCCAAAAUGGGUGGUAAAUUUCAUCUAAAGCUAAAUAUUGGCGAGAGACCGAUAGCGAACAAGUACCGUGAGGGAAAGAUGAAAAGAACUUUGAAAAGAGAGUUAAACAGUACGUGAAAUUGUCAAAAGGGAAGCGUUUGACACCAGUGUUGUUUUUCUGAAAAUCAAUUAAAGAACUGUUUAUGCUAAGUUGUUUAGACUUUAUCAGCUAACUGUUUAGUUUUGAGCUUUUCUUUAAUGCACUUUUCAGUUAACAAGUCAACAUCAAUUUCUUUUGCUGUAAAAAAGCUUGAGGAAGGUGGCUUGAGAUUCGUCUUAAGUGUUUAUAGCCUCUUGCCUAUGCAGUCGGAGAGAUUGAGGUCUGCAGCGUAGAUCCUUCGGGGCUAAAUGCAUUUGUGCUAAGUUAUAGCAUUUUAUAGACAACUUGUUGACUAUGAUUUGUCUUGUAGCUUACUCGCUUAUGUUAUUUUACCUACGCUUAGGAUGUUGACAGCAGUAUAGACUGU
This 774-nucleotide ribosomal RNA is filed under the name uncultured Neocallimastigales. RNAcentral's name for it is "partial large subunit ribosomal RNA". It matches the Rfam family "Eukaryotic large subunit ribosomal RNA", at positions 24 to 637 of the family's 3401-position model. Lineage: Eukaryota; Fungi; Neocallimastigomycota; Neocallimastigomycetes; Neocallimastigales. The record is from RNAcentral.